UUAAGUUAAUAAGGGCGCACGGUGGAUGCCUUGGCACUAGGAGCCGAAGAAGGACGUGACAAACGACGAUAUGCCUUGGGUAGCUGUAAGUAAGCGAUGAUCCAGGGAUUUCCGAAUGGGGGAACCCAACAGGUACUACCUGUUACCCGCAUCUGUUAAGGAUGUGAGGAGGAAGACGCAGUGAACUGAAACAUCUAAGUAGCUGCAGGAAGAGAAAGCAAAAGCGAUUGCCUUAGUAGCGGCGAGCGAAACGGCAGGAGGGCAAACCGAAGAGUUUACUCUUCGGGGUUGUAGGACUGCAAUGUGGACUCAAAGAUUAUAGAAGAAUGAUUUGGGAAGAUCAGCCAAAGAGAGUAAUAGCCUCGUAUUUAAAAUAGUCUUUGUACCUAGCAGUAUCCUGAGUACGGCGGGACACGUGAAAUCCCGUCGGAAUCUGGGAGGACCAUCUCCCAACCCUAAAUACUCCCUAGUGACCGAUAGUGAACCAGUACCGUGAGGGAAAGGUGAAAAGCACCCCGGGAGGGGAGUGAAAUAGAACCUGAAACCGUGUGCCUACAACAAGUUCGAGCCCGUUAAUGGGUGAGAGCGUGCCUUUUGUAGAAUGAACCGGCGAGUUACGUUAUGAUGCGAGGUUAAGUUGAAGAGACGGAGCCGUAGGGAAACCGAGUCUGAAUAGGGCGCAUUAGUAUCAUGACGUAGACCCGAAACCAUGUGACCUACCCAUGAGCAGGUUGAAGGUGCGGUAAGACGCACUGGAGGACCGAACCAGGGCACGUUAAAAAGUGCUUGGAUGACUUGUGGGUAGCGGAGAAAUUCCAAACGAACUUGGAGAUAGCUGGUUCUCUCCGAAAUAGCUUUAGGGCUAGCGUCGACAUUAGAGAUUCUUGGAGGUAGAGCACUGUUUGGGUGAGGGGUCCAUCCCGGAUUACCAAUCUCAGAUAAACUCCGAAUGCCAAUGAAUUAUGGUCGGCAGUCAGACUGCGAGUGCUAAGAUCCGUAGUCGAAAGGGAAACAGCCCAGACCACCAGCUAAGGUCCCAAAAUAAUUGUUAAGUGGAAAAGGAUGUGGGGUUGCACAGACAACUAGGAUGUUAGCUUAGAAGCAGCUAUUCAUUCAAAGAGUGCGUAAUAGCUCACUAGUCGAGUGACCCUGCGCCGAAAAUGUACCGGGGCUAAAACAAUUUACCGAAGCUGUGGAUACCUUUAUAGGUAUGGUAGGAGAGCGUUCUAUGUGUGAUGAAGGUGUACCGUGAGGAGUGCUGGAACGCAUAGAAGUGAGAAUGCCGGUAUGAGUAGCGAAAGACAGGUGAGAAUCCUGUCCACCGUAAGACUAAGGUUUCCAGGGGAAGGCUCGUCCGCCCUGGGUUAGUCGGGACCUAAGGAGAGACCGAAAGGUGUAUCCGAUGGACAACAGGUUGAUAUUCCUGUACUAGAGUAUGUAGUGAUGGAGGGACGCAGUAGGCUAACUAAAGCAGACGAUUGGAAGUGUCUGUCUAAGCAGUGAGGUGUGAUAUGAGUCAAAUGCUUAUAUCUAUAACAUUGAGCUGUGAUGGGGAGCGAAGUUUAGUAGCGAAGUUAGUGACGUCACACUGCCAAGAAAAGCUUCUAGCNUUUAUAACANACUCUACCCGUACCGCAAACCGACACAGGUAGAUCGAGGCGAGUAGCCUCAGGUGAGCGAGAGAACUCUCGUUAAGGAACUCGGCAAAAUGACCCCGUAACUUCGGGAGAAGGGGUGCUGACUUUAAGUCAGCCGCAGUGAAUAGGCCCAAGCAACUGUUUAUCAAAAACACAGCUCUCUGCUAAAUCGUAAGAUGAUGUAUAGGGGGUGACGCCUGCCCGGUGCUGGAAGGUUAAGAGGAGUGCUUAGCGNAAGCGAAGGUAUGAAUUGAAGCCCCAGUAAACGGCGGCCGUAACAAUAACGGUCCUAAGGUAGCGAAAUUCCUUGUCGGGUAAGUUCC
Molecule: ribosomal RNA, 1960 nt
Filed under: insect metagenome
Description: bacterial LSU rRNA
Rfam family: Bacterial large subunit ribosomal RNA
Source: RNAcentral